AAGUGAUCUUGCAGAGAAAGAAGACGAUAAGAUGACAGAAAGCGAGUCUGAGUUUUGCAUAGAUGCAGGUUCCUGUGGUAAUGUUGCCAGAUUUAUUAAUCACAGCUGUGAACCUAAUCUAUUUGUCCAGUGUGUUUUAAGCUCCCACCAUGAUAUUAGAUUUGCUCGGGUAGUGCUUGUUGCUGCAGAUAACAUACCUCCUAUGCAGGAACUCACAU
This 218-nucleotide unclassified non-coding RNA is filed under the name Hevea brasiliensis (rubber tree). The record is from RNAcentral. Lineage: Eukaryota; Viridiplantae; Streptophyta; Magnoliopsida; Malpighiales; Euphorbiaceae.